AGAUUGAACGCUGGCGGCAUGCCUUACACAUGCAAGUCGAACGGUAGAGUAGCAAUACUUGAGAGUGGCGAACGGGUGAGUAAUAUAUCGGAACGUGCCCAGUCGUGGGGGAUAACGUAGAGAAAUUUACGCUAAUACCGCAUACGAUCUAAGGAUGAAAGCGGGGGACCGUAAGGCCUCGCGCGAUUGGAGCGGCUGAUAUCAGAUUAGGUUGCUGGUGAGGUAAAGGCUCACCAAGGCCGCGAUCUGUAGCUGGUUUGAGAGGACGACCAGCCACACUGGGACUGAGGCACGGCCCAGACUCCUACGGGAGGCAGCAGUGGGGAAUUUUGGACAAUGGGGGAAACCCUGAUCCAGCCAUCCCGCGUGUGCGAUGAAGGCCUUCGGGUGUAAAGCACUUUUGGCAGGAAGAACGGCGCCAACUAAUACUUGGCGUCACUGACGUACCUGCAGAAUAAGCACCGGCUAACUACGUAGCCAGCACGCCGA
This 489-nucleotide ribosomal RNA is filed under the name uncultured soil bacterium. Its description in RNAcentral is "bacterial SSU rRNA". It matches the Rfam family "Bacterial small subunit ribosomal RNA", at positions 26 to 521 of the family's 1533-position model. The record is from RNAcentral.